This 431-nucleotide ribosomal RNA is filed under the name uncultured bacterium. RNAcentral's name for it is "partial 16S ribosomal RNA". It matches the Rfam family "Bacterial small subunit ribosomal RNA", at positions 338 to 795 of the family's 1533-position model. The record is from RNAcentral.
CCUACGGAGGCAGCAGUGGGGAAUAUUGGACAAUGGGCGCAAGCCUGAUCCAGCCAUGCCGCGUGGGUGAAGAAGGCCUUAGGGUUGUAAACCCCUUUCAGCGGGGAAGCGGUACCCGCAGAAGAAGUCCCGGCUAACUCCGUGCCAGCAGCCGCGGUAAUACGGAGGGGACUAGCGUUGUUCGGAAUUACUGGGCGUAAAGCGCACGUAGGCGGAUUUGUAAGUCAGGGGUGAAAUCCCGGGGCUCAACCUCGGAACUGCCUUUGAUACUGCAAAUCUCGAGUCCGGAAGAGGUGAGUGGAAUUCCUAGUGUAGAGGUGAAAUUCGUAGAUAUUAGGAAGAACACCAGUGGCGAAGGCGGCUCACUGGUCCGGACUGACGCUGAGGUGCGAAAGCGUGGGGAGCAAACAGGAUUAGAUACCCUUGUAGUC